Molecule: non-coding RNA, 388 nt
Organism: Paramuricea clavata
Lineage: Eukaryota; Metazoa; Cnidaria; Anthozoa; Malacalcyonacea; Plexauridae
Source: the annotation of a GenBank genome assembly
CCUGCAACAAAAUUCCGAGACAAGUUUCAAGACAAGUUGCAUAGUGUAACAGCGCCUUUUACUAAACAUUUAAUUUUGAACUAUAGAUGAAUAAAUUCGCUCUCGCUAUGUUAACUACUCUAUGUGAAUCUUUAAUUCCACCGCGCAAUAUGGACGAAAAGUUAUAAGGGUUAGCCUUUACUUUUUUCCCAAUCUUGCCCGGCCCCUUUUCCAAAAAUCAAAAAAUUGCCCAUAAUGGACGAAACAUUAAGGGGUUAGCCUUAAUAUUUUGCUAUUUUUGGUGACUUUUUCACAAAUCACAAAAGCGGUUGAAAAUGGACGAAAAGCUAUGGGCAAGCCUUUAUUUUUUGCCAUUUUUGGCCACUCUUUUGCUACUUUUAGCGACCUG